Molecule: non-coding RNA, 75 nt
Organism: Podarcis lilfordi (Lilford's wall lizard)
Lineage: Eukaryota; Metazoa; Chordata; Lepidosauria; Squamata; Lacertidae
Source: the annotation of a GenBank genome assembly
GGAAGGGCCAUAGCUCAGCAGUAGAGAAUCUGCCUUGCAUGCGGAAGGUUGCAGGUUCAAUCCUUGGCAUUUCCG